GCCUAGCCCUAAACCUUGGUAAUAUAUCACAUACCCUACCCGCCUGGGAACUACGAGCACCAGCUUAAAACCCAAAGGACUUGGCGGUGCUUUAGACCCCCCUAGAGGAGCCUGUUCUAGAACCGAUAACCCCCGUUCAACCUCACCCUUCCUUGUUUUUCCCGCCUAUAUACCGCCGUCGUCAGCUUACCCUGUGAAGGCCUAAAAGUAAGCACAACUGGCAAAACCCAAAACGUCAGGUCGAGGUGUAGCGCAUGGAGGGGGAAGAAAUGGGCUACAUUCCCUACAAUAGGGAACACGAAUGGCGCACUGAAAUACGCGCCUGAAGGAGGAUUUAGUAGUAAGCGGAAAAUAGCGUGUUCCGCUGAAAUCGGCCCUGAAGCGCGC
This 387-nucleotide ribosomal RNA is filed under the name Hozukius emblemarius. RNAcentral's name for it is "partial 12S ribosomal RNA". It matches the Rfam family "Bacterial small subunit ribosomal RNA", at positions 794 to 1384 of the family's 1533-position model. The record is from RNAcentral. Lineage: Eukaryota; Metazoa; Chordata; Actinopteri; Perciformes; Sebastidae.